Molecule: ribosomal RNA, 464 nt
Filed under: uncultured bacterium
Lineage: Bacteria
Description: partial 16S ribosomal RNA
Rfam family: Bacterial small subunit ribosomal RNA
Source: RNAcentral
CCUACGGGCGGCAGCAGUGGGGAAUUUUGCGCAAUGCUCGUAAGAGUGACGCAGCGACGCCGCGUGAAUGACGAAGGCCUUCGGGUCGUAAAGUUCUUUCGACAGGGAAGAAAAUGCCUAUAAGUAACUGUGUAUGUAUUGACGGUACCUGUAUAAGCAGCCCCGGCGAACUCCGUGCCAGCCGCCGCGGUAAUACGGAGGGGGCGAGCGGUGUUCGGAGUGACUGGGCGUAAAGAGCACGUAGGCGGGUGUGUAAGUCGUUAGUCAAAGAGUAGCGCUCAACUUUAGUAAGGCUGUGAUACUAUAAUACUAGAGUAUCACAGAGGAAUGCAGAAUUCCUGGUGUAGCGGUGAAAUGCGUAGAUAUCAGGAGGAAUACCGUUAGCGAAGGCAGCAAUCUGGCUGGAAACUGACGCUGAGGUGCGAAAGCGUGGGUAGCAAACAGGAUUAGAUACCCCUGUAGUC